This 70-nucleotide transfer RNA is filed under the name Cytophagales bacterium. Its description in RNAcentral is "tRNA-Gln". It matches the Rfam family "tRNA". From Rfam's summary of the family: Transfer RNA (tRNA) molecules are approximately 80 nucleotides in length. The record is from RNAcentral. Lineage: Bacteria; Pseudomonadati; Bacteroidota; Cytophagia; Cytophagales.
AUGGUGUAACUGGCAACACGUCUGAUUUUGGUUCAGAAGAGUCCAGGUUCGAAACCUGGUCGGUCAACCA